UCACAACUGUGACCAGGGCCUUCCUAACAGCCCCUGAGUUCACAGAGCCCAGGGAGGUCACCGUGGAUUGAGCGGUAGUGCUGAUGUUUGUGUCUCUGUGCUUGGGCUCAUGGGCACCACCUCUGGAUCCAUCCAGGAGGAAAUAGACUGGUCAGGACCUGCAACGGCACCUUCCUGUCCUGUCCUCACCGUCUGCUCCUGCUCUAAGGGCGCUCCCUGGGUUGGAUGACACAGGGAGUCCUUCCUCUGGGAUUCCUGCGUGUGCCCCGGCAUCCUGGAGUCCUGAGGGCGGAACACAUGACUGAGCACAUUUUUGGCCUCCACUCCUCACCCAAUCCCACCCAAUCCCAAAUCCUUGGGCUUUGAAUGAAACCUAAAUUGGCUUUCAUUGGAGAGGCCCGAGUCCAGCUGUGGCUCAAGGCCCUCUGUGGCUGGCAGGAAUCCUCGGGGAUAUGUGUGGAGGGGCUGCUGUGUUGCUGUAGGCAGUGGCUCUCGCCCUCCCUGUAGCCUGGUCCCUGGCAUCCACUGGGCCCAGGACGGAGCCUCUGGGGCCACUUGUCUUGUGACACCCUCCUGUCUGGCCCAACAGCCUUAUCCUGCUCCCCACACUCGAGUCAGGCCCAGCUUGUUCUCUGUGUCAGGCCUGUCAGGUGCCCUCCCACCUAGUCUUCCCACAGCUCAGGCAAACCCUGGGAGGCCCCCUCAUUUCUGUGCUGACAACUGCUGGCCUCACCUGCAGAUUAAGGCAACUGGGACAAGGGGCUGUACCUUGAAUUCUGUUCCAUUGUUUCCAAAUAUUCAGAAGCUGGUGGGAUUCUUUUGAAGGCUGAAUAUUUUCCAAGUCUCUAGGGUCAUUCCAGGCAUAGAACAGUCACUGUAUCUGUGACAUCAUUCAUCAUCAGCUCCCACAGGCCCCAAUACAACCCCAGGCCUGUGGUCAUCAGUCAUGAUCGCCUCCCAUGGGCCCCAACACAACCCCAGGCCUGGGCAGGUGCUGCUGACCCAGGGUGCGAUCCGUGUGUUGACUGGAGGCUGGCAGUGCAGCCUUGGCCUUCUUUCCGACGUUCUGUUGGAGAACAGUGGGACGGGUGGAGGCCCACAAGGAGGAAGGAAAUGGGAUUCAUGAGGGAACAGAAGCAGGCCCUACAGGAGGAGGAGGGAGGAAUUCCACGUCAUGCACAACGUUGUGAAGAGGGCGGCCGCCUCUUGGAGGAACAGAAUGACACGGCUUCCCCUCCCUGGGCUCAGUUAUGGAAUACACUGAUGCUUGCUUCCCAGAACUGGGAGACUCCACCAUUACAGGCAGCCACCAGCAGGUAACUGAUCUCCUCUUAUAUGCUCUCUCUCUUUUAUCCUCUUUCUGACUCCUGAGCUCCUUUCUUAGCUCUGGUCCUUUUCCUCUUUUCCUCUCUUGUGAUUGUUCUGAAGCACCUGGUCUCAUCCCACAGUUGAGGUCCUCGGGUCUUCAGUGUGGAUAAAACCCCUCCCCA
RNAcentral lists this long non-coding RNA (1490 nucleotides) under Rhinopithecus bieti (black snub-nosed monkey). RNAcentral describes it as "lncRNA (ENSRBIG00000045223.1)". The record is from RNAcentral. Lineage: Eukaryota; Metazoa; Chordata; Mammalia; Primates; Cercopithecidae.